Molecule: long non-coding RNA, 5416 nt
Filed under: Musa acuminata (dwarf banana)
Lineage: Eukaryota; Viridiplantae; Streptophyta; Magnoliopsida; Zingiberales; Musaceae
Description: long non-coding RNA (MACU_LNC001686)
Source: RNAcentral
CUGCAUCUCCAAAUAAUGUAGCUGACUAGGUGUACAUUCUUUUCCUGAAAAACAUCUCAUCUAUCAGGUAGCAGGGACAAUAUUUUCAAGCAUCAGGAGGCAAAAUUAAUAUAUAUGAUGAUGACAUCUAAAGACAAUAUGGGAGUUGAGUCCUUUGUGGAUCUUUGUCUGUAUACUCCGUCAUUUAUGGUACUUAAAUUGUUAACUAAGAUCAAUGUUUUUUACUUGGUCUGCACAUCACUAAUAACAGCAAUCCUUCAAGUAAUGAGGUAUACCUAAGAUGAUUCUGCAUCAUAAUACUAUAUGUUUCAAGUUUGGAACUUGUAGACAGUAACUUCACCAUUUGAUGCCUGUUUUUUAAUGUAGGCUGAUAAUUUAAAGCAAACAGGGCUCAUAUAUGUUACGUUGAUUAAAAAUAGGUCGAGUUUGGCAGAUGACGCAAGAAGGAUGUUGUCCUGUCUAAGGAUUUAAAUCUUGAUCCAAUACCAGCCAGUUUGGGUAAUCUACUAGACUGAUAUGGUAUCGGUAUACCUGAUAGGAUACCCAAAAAUAUAUGGUAUCAGUCAGUAAAUACUGGAGGAUAUGCCCCAUCCCAACCAAUAUUUGAGAGUUGAAACCAUGGUCUCGGCCAUGGUACAAAUUCUUUGUUUUGACACUAGAAUGGAGGUCAAUAUGGUUAAUGGCUUAUGCUGUAGAAAAGUAUGAUGUUUUGUCAAUUGAGAAUGUAGAUUUUGGAUUGGCUGUCUGGUCUUUUGCAUAUAUGAUAUUGCUGUAAUGACUUGUUUAUUGGCAUUUAUAGGGUGGAUACAGGGGAUUCUAUGCUCGCAACACCAUACAGUUGACACCAAAGAGUGUAAAUGAUAUUCAUAAACGUGGCGGCACAAUCCUCAGCACAUCACGAGGAGGUCAUGAUACCUUGAAGAUAGUUGACAACAUUCAGGAUCGUGGGAUAAAUCAGGUAAAAGAAUGUGUUGCUUUGUAUUGUGAAUUCUAUUUGUUUUCUGCAAGUUCAACCAAUAUUAGUUUUUAGAUUGAUUUAUGAAGAAAUAUUCACACUCCAGGUUUACAUCAUAGGAGGAGAUGGAACCCAAAAAGGAGCUGCUGCUAUUUUUGAGGUAUAACCCAAAAACUUGCUCCACACAAGUUUAAUGUCACCUAUCUGUUAAUGCUAUCUGACAACACAUGAAGAUAUUUACUUUUCAUGAUGGAAAUUUACGGAGGCAACUUUAUCCAUAGUCGUCCAGGGUAAAUUACUAUUUGCUCCCUCCCUUGCUUUCGCUGAUGAUACCACUUCUGAUGCAAACUUGGAUUUCCAUUUCUACUCUUCCUCCAAAGCUCUUCCUUUCUAGUGCUUGAAGAACUAAUACAAUCUACCUUCUCAUUUUAGAAUUUUAUUCGAUCUUGUCUUAGGGAAUUAAGAUCUCCAUUUCUGGAAUGUUAGAAGAUGAUAAGCUAUCUGACAAGUUCUACUUGAUUGUAACUUGCAGGAAAUCCGAAGGCGUCGCCUUAAAGUUGCUGUUGCUGGGAUCCCUAAGACAAUAGAUAAUGACAUUGCGGUACAGCAUUUGUUGUAAACUUCAAUGAGCUUCUUUGUCUUGUUAACCACUUUAUGAUUGUUACAUUUGAAGUGGUGAUUUAGGUUAUUGACAAGUCCUUCGGCUUUGAUACUGCUGUCGAAGAAGCCCAGCGGGCAAUUAAUGCUGCACAUGUGGAGGCUGAGAGUGUUGAGAAUGGUAUAGGCGUAGUGAAACUAAUGGGUCGCUACAGUGGUAUAGCUCUUUUCUUGGUAAAAAUAACAUCCGAUAGUGAUAUGUGAUAUAAUUUAUUCUUAAAUUGUUGGACCUUAUGGGAUGAUUAACAUGAAAAAUAAAGAUUGUAGAUACUCAACUCUAUUUAAUAGAUAACCUAAUUAGAGAUCUACUAGAGGCACUAUCUCUUCAUGUUGACAUUUGAUUAAUCUGGCUCCAUGUCUCAAACGUUUGCCAAAUAUGUGCAUGCCGGCAAAGUUUUCUCCAGAACAGAAAACAGCCAUGAAAACUUUAAUAUGAUUCAAAAUACGGUCUCAGCUAACAUGAACUGUUGAAUUUUAUGUAGACUUGGAUUAUGUUGAUUAAUUUAAGACUUCAUUGUACAAUGUGCAUUAUAAGCCUAAAAUAUUUAAUGAUGCAGGGUUCAUUGCAAUGUAUGCUACUCUAGCGAGCCGAGAUGUCGUAAGCAUCGUACUUAAGUUUUUUUGUAUUAGUUUAUUGUAGAUGCUUUUAUCCACUGGCUGAGGCAUUUGGUUUUGGAAUUUCAGCUAUGGAAUGAUUUAAGAAAUGACAUGUCAUUUGCCUUUCUGGUGCUUCUUUUUUCUUUCGUUUAGGACUGUUGCUUAAUUCCAGAAUCACGAUUUUAUCUGGAAGGAAAAGGUGGUCUUUAUGAAUACAUAGAGAAGAGGCUUAAAGAAAAUGGACACAUGGUAAUUGUUGUUGCCGAGGGAGCAGGACAAGAUCUUAUUGCUGAAAGUAUGAAGUCAAUGGACCACGAAGAUGCUUCUGGAAACAAGCUGCUUCUGGAUGUUGGGCUUUGGUUGUCCCAGGGAAUAAAGGUGAAUUUUCAUAUUCAGAUCAAUUUCCUUGUCGAUUUAUUGCUUGUUCAAUACGGAUAUUGCUAGAUUGGACUUAAUCACCUAGCAGCAAAUGAUUCAGUAUGAUUCAUCUGCAGCUAUUUGAAGAACAAAUUAUCCAUAUGUCCACCAUACUAAUUGUUUUCCCUCUUUUUUUUUUUCCUUUCUACCAUACAGAAUUACUUCACAAGCAGACAAAAGAUGACAAUAAAUCUUAAAUAUAUAGGUAUGUUGGCAGACUUGACCCAAUCAGAUCCUCUUUAAAUUGUUAGACGUAAAUGUUUGUAUUUUGAAAUGCAGAUCCGACAUAUAUGAUUCGUGCAAUUCCAAGCAAUGCAUCUGAUAACGUCUAUUGCACGCUUCUGGCACAAAGUGCAGUCCAUGGGGCAAUGGCUGGAUACACAGGUUUCACUGUGGGGCUAGUUAAUGGCAGACAGACUUACAUACCAUUUGACGUAAGUAUUAUAACUAUGUGAUCAAAGCUCACUUGCUGAAAUCAGGGUUUCCGGUCAAUUCUAUAUUGAGGACUGGAAAUUUCACCUUAAUUUAAUGUCAAAUUCCAUGGAGAAAUUUUUUGUGCAAAUCAUUUAUCUUAAUGAAUAAUAAAGCAUUACUUUUGACAUCCUUAGUUAAUUUGAAAAUCUAAGUCAAGGUAAAAUCAUGUUCUGAUUGCAUAAUCUUCACUGUGACUAUCAAAUCCAGUUGUUCUUUCAUUUCCAAUGUGGAAUUACUUGUUUGCCUAUGCAUAAUCUGAGGAGCUUCUAGAGUAAUGUAAAUUGAAGAAACCGAAUUUGUCUUCCAAAUUACAUUCAAGCAAUAUACGAUAUUUACAAUUAUGAGACUAGAAGAAUAAAUUUCAGAGGCUAGUGGUCUUGAGGUCUACUUUAUAUCCUUACAUUCUUUACGAAUACGUUAGUGUAUGAGAUAUUUUCUGAUUUGUUAUAUUGGUCUAGUGCAUUUAGAGAAAGUUAUGUGAUCUUUUUGACUGUCAUUAGAAGAAUUAUAUUGGGAGUUGAUUUAUAUUAUCAGUACAAGCCACACUGCAUAUGCAUGUUCAUGUAUGACCCAUAUGCACAAAUGCACCUUGAUUAUCUAGCUAAAGUGAAGAUUUUAUUUUGUUCAUAAAAGAAUGAUGUACAUAUUUUUGUAUAGUUGAAAUCUUUUAUGUGAUUUUGGAGAUUUGAAAAUCGUAUGCCAAAUGUACUUUAGAAGAGAAAUUAAAAACAUCAUAAGAAUCUCUAAUCAAUUGCUGAUAUUGGCAUUAGCUUCUCAUUUGUUGAUAAAAUCUUUCUACAACUGCAGAGGGUGACAGAAAAACGAAAUAAGGUCGUCAUCACUGACAGAAUGUGGGCAAGGCUGCUGUCAUCAACCAAUCAGCCAAGCUUUUUGAGUUCGAAAGAUGUCGAGGAGGCAAAUAUAAGAGAGGAGCAACCCAAACAGACAUCUGGCGAGGUAAAAUGCUUGGAAAAUGGUUCUAGUUAAUAUGAAGGUUAUUUAAUAGCGUCGGCAAACCAUUAUCUUGUGCUUACAUUGUUGACAGCGUGUGCCAGCAUAAUUAAGUGAUAUAUUGUCUUCCAGUGGAGAAGCAACAAAUCUUUACGCUGUGUGCAUUUAUCAAAUAAGUGCAUCUAGAUCAUGAUCAGUAUGAACUUAGCACCAAAUAAUCUAUGGAAUCAUGUAGCAAUGUAACGUACAACCAUGGUGAUUUUGAAGUGGUUUAAUUAUCACAAAUCUAUUGGCAAAAGUCUUCUCAAGUUUCUUUGGGUAGACAGUCAAAUAGCAUAGCCUUUCUACUUGUUCUCCAAUUAUUGUUGCUAGCAUUCCCCAAGUUGUUUAUCUACAGGAAAAUUUGGAUAGAGAUCUACAUGCAUGCUUCCUCUUCUUUACUUGCGCAAGAUACACCUUGGCAUUACAUACUCUGACAUCAAAUAGUAGCAAACGGAUAAUAUUCCUUGAAAGAGAGUGAAUGUGGACUAUGAAACAGACCAAAUGAACGGUAGAAUAAAUAAAAUUUGUUUACCACAGAGAGGUAGUGUUUCCAUUAAGUAAACACUGGCUUCUAUUAUAUAAAGCAUGUCAAAACACCUUAAAAUAAAUAACUUGAAACUUACAAAAAGUUGUUGGCCAAAGGAUAUAAAAGCUCGCUCACCUUGUCAUUGCAGUUCCCAUAGAUGUUAGUGUGACUUUUUCUUGCUCGAUGGAUGCGUCUUCAAGCUAAAUUCUUGGCUGCAGGUAAAUAUGAAAUACCCAGAAACAAAGGAUUCCUACAGACAGAAGCUAGAAUUUUUGUUAUUUUCUUUCCCAUAGGAAGAAGAUGAUUUUUUUUUUUGUGUGUGCUAGAAAGCCAACUCCUACGUGUUUCUUUAAGCAUCGAAAUCAAUGUAAUCUCAUGCCUCCUACUGGAAGAUGAAGCCUUUUUUUUUAACUAGAAAGGGGACUCAAAAGUGUAGUGUUUCUUCAAGCAUCAAAACCAGUGUAAAUCUGAUUCCUACCUAAAAGAGGGUCAGUAUGCUGAAACAACGAAACAUUCUAAUCUGAGUAGCCGCAGGGACUCGGGUUAGUUUCAGAGACAGUAUCAGAAACCCUAAUCGGAGAGUUAGGGAUCGAUGGAAGAUCCUGGUUCGCCCCCAAAUCGGGGGGACAAUAUUGCUCGCGAAACGUGAUGGAUUUACUUGAGAGAAAGAGAAGGAAUGAAAGCGUACCAUUGAGAUCGAUAGCCGAGAGCGACAGAGAGUAUCGAGAGAUCACGUUGAAUAGAAUGCGAAUGGAGAUCGGAAUUCUUUCAAAUUCGUGAGGUCCGAAGCCCCUUUU